This 502-nucleotide ribosomal RNA is filed under the name uncultured Lachnospiraceae bacterium. Its description in RNAcentral is "bacterial SSU rRNA". It matches the Rfam family "Bacterial small subunit ribosomal RNA", at positions 1 to 507 of the family's 1533-position model. Lineage: Bacteria; Bacillati; Bacillota; Clostridia; Lachnospirales; Lachnospiraceae. The record is from RNAcentral.
UUUAGUAGUCCUCGGCGUCAGGAUGAACGACUGGCGGCGGUGCCUAACACAUGCAAGCGAACGAAGCGCAUGGCCCUGGAAACCCUCCGGGGGGAAGGGCAUGUGACUGAGUGGCGGACGGGUGAGUAACGCGUGGGCAACCUGCCCCGCACUGGGGGACAACAGCCGGAAACGGCUGCUAAUACCGCAUAUGCGCACAGCUUUGCAUGAAGCAGUGUGGAAAACUCCGGUGGUGCGGGAUGGGCCCGCGUCUGAUUAGCUGGUUGGCGGGGCAACGGCCCACCAAGGCGACGAUCAGUAGCCGGCCUGAGAGGGUGGACGGCCACAUUGGGACUGAGACACGGCCCAGACUCCUACGGGAGGCAGCAGUGGGGAUAUUGCACAAUGGGGGAACCCUGAUGCAGCGACGCCGCGUGAGCGAAGAAGUACCUCGGUAUGUAAAGCUCUAUCAGCAGGGAAGAAAAUGACGGUACCUGACUAAGAAGCCCCGGCUAAAUACGUG